This 315-nucleotide ribosomal RNA is filed under the name uncultured bacterium. Its description in RNAcentral is "bacterial SSU rRNA". It matches the Rfam family "Bacterial small subunit ribosomal RNA", at positions 28 to 334 of the family's 1533-position model. The record is from RNAcentral.
GAUAAACGCUGGCGGCGCACAUAAGACGUGCAAGUCGAACGGACUUAACCAUUAGUUUACUAUUGGAGCGGUUAGUGGCGGACUGGUGAGUAACGCGUAAGCAAUCUGCCUAUCAGAGGGGGACAACAGUUGGAAACGACUGCUAAUACCGCAUAAGCCCACAGGUCGGCAUCGACCAGAGGGAAAAGGAGCAAUCCGCUUUGAGAUGGCCUCGCGUCCGAUUAGCUAGUUGGUGAGGUAACGGCCCACCAAGGCGACGAUCGGUAGCCGGACUGAGAGGUCGAACGGCCACAUUGGGACUGAGACACGGCCCAG